AACGAACGCUGGCGGCAGGCUUAACACAUGCAAGUCGAACGCCCCGCCAGGGGCGUGGCAGACGGGUGAGUAACGCGUGGGAACAUACCCUUUUCUACGGAAUAGCUCUGGGAAACUGGAAUUAAUACCGUAUACGCCCUACGGGGGAAAGAUUUAUCGGGGAAGGAUUGGCCCGCGUUGGAUUAGCUAGUUGGUGGGGUAAAGGCCUACCAAGGCGACGAUCCAUCGCUGGUCUGAGAGGAUGAUCAGCCAAAUUGGUACUGAGACACGGCCCAAACUCCAACGGGAGGAGGCGGGGAGAAAUAUGGUACAAGGGGCCAAAGCCUAACCCGGCAGUGCCGCAGGAGUUAAACCGCCCUUAGGGUUGAAACUCUCUCCCCCCAAUGAAAAAAAGCAGGAUAGCCGAGAAAAAACCCCCGUCAAUCUUGGUC
RNAcentral lists this ribosomal RNA (431 nucleotides) under uncultured bacterium. RNAcentral's name for it is "partial 16S ribosomal RNA". It matches the Rfam family "Bacterial small subunit ribosomal RNA", at positions 29 to 507 of the family's 1533-position model. The record is from RNAcentral.